Molecule: long non-coding RNA, 546 nt
Organism: Mobula hypostoma (lesser devil ray)
Lineage: Eukaryota; Metazoa; Chordata; Chondrichthyes; Myliobatiformes; Myliobatidae
Exons: 3
Source: RefSeq, a predicted model, not a curated record
CAGCUGUUUGCCUGACCUCUCCAGCUCAACAACCUGGUCAACAGUCAAAUCGGGAAUAGAGGGCACUGCUUUAGAUUCUGUCUGCUUUGGUUUCCCGAGCACUACUCAAAGUGGUAGUUGACCUCUGAAUCAAUGUCUGAUUGCGUGGAUAACAGGCAAAGGAAGCUGGAGAGAUCAGAAUAGCAUCGUAACAUUACAGCUUCUCUUUGAUGCUUGACAAAAUGUAUCUGAUGUUUGAAUCAGCAGAGGAUACAUUGCAAGCAACAGACUGCAAUAAGGAGGAAAAGGAAUGUGGAAGGAAACUGGAGCACUUGGAGGAAACCCACUUGGUCAUGGAGAGGACAUACAAAUUCCUUACGGACAGUGGAGGGAAUGAGCACGGGUCACCGAUGCUUUAAUUGUAUGACGUUAACUGCUACACAACUGUGCUGCAUGCAUCUCCUGGAGGAUAUUUCUACAAUGGAAGUAAAAAUCAUUUAUAAUAACCUAGAAUGUCAAUUUAUAUGGAACUCCGAUCCCCAUAUCCUGUUCCACUAAUGAAGAUCG